Molecule: ribosomal RNA, 999 nt
Filed under: uncultured Pseudomonas sp.
Lineage: Bacteria; Pseudomonadati; Pseudomonadota; Gammaproteobacteria; Pseudomonadales; Pseudomonadaceae
Description: bacterial SSU rRNA
Rfam family: Bacterial small subunit ribosomal RNA
Source: RNAcentral
GUGCCAGCAGCCGCGGUAAUACGAAGGGUGCAAGCGUUACUCGGAAUUACUGGGCGUAAAGCGUGCGUAGGUGGUCGUUUAAGUCCGUUGUGAAAGCCCUGGGCUCAACCUGGGGACUGCAGUGGAUACUGGGCGACUAGAGUGUGGUAGAGGGUAGCGGAAUUCCUGGUGUAGCAGUGAAAUGCGUAGAGAUCAGGAGGAACAUCCAUGGCGAAGGCAGCUACCUGGACCAACACUGACACUGAGGCACGAAAGCGUGGGGAGCAAACAGGAUUAGAUACCCUGGUAGUCCACGCCCCAAACGAUGCGAACUGGAUGUUGGGUGCAAUUUGGCACGCAGUAUCGAAGCUAACGCGUUAAGUUCGCCGCCUGGGGAGUACGGUCGCAAGACUGAAACUCAAAGGAAUUGACGGGGGCCCGCACAAGCGGUGGAGUAUGUGGUUUAAUUCGAUGCAACGCGAAGAACCUUACCUGGCCUUGACAUGUCGAGAACUUUCCAGAGAUGGAUUGGUGCCUUCGGGAACUCGAACACAGGUGCUGCAUGGCUGUCGUCGGCUCGUGUCGUGAGAUGUUGGGUUAAGUCCCGCAACGAGCGCAACCCUUGUCCUUAGUUGCCAGCACGUAAUGGUGGGAACUCUAAGGAGACCGCCGGUGACCAGCCGGAGGAAGGUGGGGAUGGCGUCAAGUCAUCAUGGCCCUUACGGCCAGGGCUACACACGUACUACAAUGGUAGGGACAGAGGGCUGCAAGCCGGCGACGGUAAGCCAAUCCCAGAAACCCUAUCUCAGUCCGGAUUGGAGUCUGCAACUCGACUCCAUGAAGUCGGAAUCGCUAGUAAUCGCAGAUCAGCAUUGCUGCGGUGAAUACGUUCCCGGGCCUUGUACACACCGCCCGUCACACCAUGGGAGUUUGUCGCACCAGAAGCAGGUAGCUUAACCUUCGGGAGGGCGCUUGCCACGGUGUGGCUGAUGACUGGGGUGAAGUCGUAACAAGGUAACC